CAAAUAAGCAAAAGUUCUCUCUUCAUGAAAAUUUAAAGCCGAAGAACUGAGUUACCCUCAAACAAGACCACGUCUACCGAUUCCACUAUUUUUUAAAUCGGAGCCAGACCGAACGGGUGGCCAGGUUUACUAGUGCCCAGUGCCUACCUUAAACCCUAGCAGGCAAUAGCAAGAAACAAAAGUCUUCAAUUAACCAUGCUACUGAAAGCCGCGUUCUUAGUUCACAGCAAAAUGGUGCCAAACCCUGUAUAUCUCACACAAAAAUCCCAACUCUUACACCGUUUUCUGGCCUUUUCUAGCAGAUCCCUUUCGCAUUUUGGUCAUAAAGCUCAAGUUUCCGUCAACCCUAUUCAGAUAAUUGGCCUCAGGGCCUCUUCUUCGUGCUGUUCCUUUUUAUGUCCUCUAAAUUCUACUCAUGGGACUGUGCUUAAGGAUUUGAGAUGUUCUAAAUUGGGAUGGCAAUUGAAUUUUGAUAGACUUUGUGCCUCGGCUGUUUCAAAUGGCGGCUCCGGUGGUGUUGGCGGGCUCGGGGGCUAUGGCAAUGGGAAUUCUGGUGGUAAUGGUAACGGUUGUGGCGGCAGCGGCGGUGAUGGUGGAGAUAGCUGGUCCUUCGUUUCGUGGUAUUUGACUCUUCUUGCCAAGUAUCCUGUGUUGACAAAAGCUUUGACAUCUGCAUUUUUGACUUUUAUUGGAGACUUAGUCUGCCAGCUUGUGAUCGAUCAAGUUCCUUCUCUUGAAGUAAAAAGGACGCUUCUGUUUACUUUCUUGGGAUUGGUACUAGUGGGUCCCACAUUGCAUUUCUGGUAUUUGUAUCUGAGUAAAUUGGUAACAUUGCCUGGAGCAUCAGGUGCAUUCUUGCGUCUUCUACUUGAUCAGUUCCUUUUUUCUCCAAUAUUCAUUGGAGUUUUCUUGUCUACAUUGGUGACACUAGAAGGCCGGCCUCAACAAGUUGUACCCAAGCUUCAACAGGAGUGGUUUUCUGCUGUUCUUGCAAAUUGGCAACUGUGGAUACCUUUUCAAUUUCUGAACUUCCGAUUUGUCCCUCAGCAAUUUCAGGUUCUUGCUGCUAAUGCUAUUGCUUUAAUUUGGAAUGUAAUUCUCUCAUUCAAAGCUCACAAAGAGGUUCUCCCAAAAUAGUUCUUUCUCUAUUUCUUCUAUAAUUCUCUGUUAGGGUUCCACAACCCUAACAUUUGGUAUCAGAGCUACCGAAUCCAAGAAUCAGUGGGUAAUUGGUCAUUGGGGGUCAGAACUAUGACUAGAGUAGUUGUAGCGAGUCUAGAGAUGGUGAAGUUUGUUGAGUUGGAAGAACAAGUGAGAAACUUGCGAGAUGUUUCUCUAAUCUACAAGAGGUGGCUUCGUGAACUGCUGGAGAUCUAAAGGAAUUUAAGGAAGACAUGAUGAAGAAAACUGAAGGUGGAUCAUUCCUUACUCCAAACUGCUGUGAAUUUGUAGCCAUGUUUGAUAUCAAGUUCUUUGCUGCUUCAGGUAUCUUAUCUACCAAAGCACCUCUAUUAACUGUAUCUAUCAUGCCUUUGUUAGUAGGAAGAAGACCUUCAUAAAAAUAUUGAACGAGUAGUUGGUCACUUAUUUGAUGAUGUGGGCAACUUGCACGCAAUCUCUUGAAUCUCUCUCAAUACUCAUGCAAUGACUCCCUAUUAUACUGACUAAUGUCACAAAUUUCUUUUCUAAUGUUGGCUGCCCUUGAAGCUGGAAAGUACUUCUCUAAGAAUAGCCUCUUCAUGUCAUUCCAUAUGUUUAUGAAAUCAGAAGGUAGGUGGUAGAGCCAAUCUUUAGCUGCAUCUUCCAAUGAGAAUGAGAAUGCUUUCAAUUUAAUUUGCUCCUCUGUAAUACUUGUAGGUUUCAUGCUUAAACACACAACAUGAAACUCCUCAAGGUGUUUGUGAGGAUCAUCACUUGCAAGACUACGAAAAGUAGGCAAUAAGUGAAUUAAGCCAGAUUUUAAUUCAAAAGGCACCGUAAGUGCAGGAUAUUGUAUGCAUAAUGGUUGUUGGUUCAUGUCAGGAGUUGCAAACUCUCUGAUGGUUCUUGCUCAAAAGGAUGAGGAGGAGUCACUUGUGGUUCGUUUCCAACAAAAGUUUUAGCUCUGAAUGGAGUGGAUGAUUUGUCUUAUUGCUGACGAAUUCCCUGAUAUGUUUAAGCUUUGUAUCAAGUUCUUCUUCAAACAUGCCACCUAAAAAUAAACAUAAAACUAAAUAUAAACAAAUCUGAAUUCAAGUUUAAACCAAAUAACAAUCACUCAUCGGCAACGACGCCAAAGAUGAGUGCCAAAUGCACUAAUUAGAAAUAAUCUACCUAAACUACUUGUUUAUAGGGUAAGCAGAGGUCGAUCCUAUAGGGAAUGAGUAAAUGUAAACAAGAAAACAGAUCUUAGCGACACAAAUAAAUAAAAGGUAAAACAGACAAAAUAAACACCUAAAUUUAUCAAACUGAAUAUGCAAAGUAAAAUAAAAUGGGAUUUUGAUUUGUAUUCGCUAAACUAGUGAAGUUAAACUAAGAAUACUAGAAUAUAAACUAAGGCUAAUGACACUUAUGAAUACUCAACAUAACCAUAUUGUAACAAAUUCAGUAGAGGGUGUUAUCUACCAUAGAAUGUAUAUUAAUUAUUGACUAAAGAUGUAAAUUUAUUCAAUUGAGUAAAUUGAUUAUAGAAGUUAAUAACGUCCUUAUCUUUUCUUACAAAUUAGAUUAAACAGGAAGUGCUUUACUAUUAAUUCCUUACCAUCGCACUCAAUCUAAGAUUAGAGCAUAUUAUAAUUAAGUUUAAUGGUAGCAUUAAUAAUUAGAAAGCAUCCUAAUUCAAGGUAACAAACUCAUUCAGCAUGGUUCAUUUAACCUAGACACUCAUCUUUAUAAUGAAAUAAAUCAUUAUGUGCUAUGUGUAGUCAGAUUAUUCGAGUUAUUAUGUACUCAAAUUAUCUUAACUUAGGAGUCUGUUUUUAUGCACAAUUAAUUAGUUGACCACUCUAACUAACCAUACAUUCAACAUUCAUAACAUAAACCAGAAGAUUAGUGAUACUCAAUAUAGAACAAAUCUGGAUGUUAUUAAACUCAAAUCAAACUCUCAUGGCAAUAUGUUCCAUGGUUUUAACUAUCUCUCUACUAAAUUAUAAAAUUACUUACACAUAACUAAGAACAUUAAAUAUAAACAAAUUAACAAAAGAAGAGAGAAAAACAUGCUGUUCCUUUUAGAAGUAAUUUGAAAGUUGGAUCUGAUGUUGAUGAUGAUGCUACACACUCCAAAGGACGUAGAAGUGCGCUUCACAAGCCACAAAAAGAAGAAGAAAUCACGCCAGCAACCAGAUCAAGCAGUUGAUAUCUUUGAAUGCAUAAAGAAAGAAUUUAGCCACUAUGAGUAGAAGAGAAUUGAAAAACUCCAUAUUUGUAUUUUGGACUCUUUUAUAGAGAAAAAUAGGUUAACUCAAACUCCAGAUCUAAUUUGGAAGUCUUAGUUGUAUUUUGACUUAAAACUCUUUCAAGAAUCCUAGUUAAAGGAGGAAAAUAAGUUAAAAACAACUCUCCUUUUACAUA
Molecule: RNA transcript, 3549 nt
Organism: Hevea brasiliensis (rubber tree)
Lineage: Eukaryota; Viridiplantae; Streptophyta; Magnoliopsida; Malpighiales; Euphorbiaceae
Gene name: protein sym-1
Exons: 10
Source: RefSeq, a predicted model, not a curated record